RNAcentral lists this ribosomal RNA (523 nucleotides) under uncultured bacterium. RNAcentral describes it as "partial 16S ribosomal RNA". It matches the Rfam family "Bacterial small subunit ribosomal RNA", at positions 355 to 895 of the family's 1533-position model. The record is from RNAcentral.
UGGGGAAUAUUGGACAAUGGGCGCAAGCCUGAUCCAGCCAUGCCGCGUGAGUGAUGAAGGCCCUAGGGUUGUAAAGCUCUUUCGCCGACGAAGAUAAUGACGGUAGUCGGAGAAGAAGCCCCGGCUAACUUCGUGCCAGCAGCCGCGGUAAUACGAAGGGGGCUAGCGUUGUUCGGAAUCACUGGGCGUAAAGCGCACGUAGGCGGAUUGUUAAGUCAGGGGUGAAAGCCUGGAGCUCAACUCCAGAACUGCCCUUGAUGCUGGCAAUCUCGAGUCCGGAAGAGGUAAGUGGAACUGCGAGUGUAGAGGUGAAAUUCGUAGAUAUUCGCAAGAACACCAGUGGCGAAGGCGGCUUACUGGUCCGGUACUGACGCUGAGGUGCGAAAAGCGUGGGGAGCAAACAGGAUUAGAUACCCUGGUAGUCCACGCCGUAAACGAUGGGGGCUAGCCGUUGGCGAGCAUGCUCGUCAGUGGCGCAGCUAACGCAUUAAGCCUCCCGCCUGGGGAGUACGGUCGCAAGAUU